Molecule: ribosomal RNA, 1115 nt
Filed under: uncultured bacterium
Lineage: Bacteria
Description: bacterial SSU rRNA
Rfam family: Bacterial small subunit ribosomal RNA
Source: RNAcentral
AGUGGGGAAUAUUGCACAAUGGACGGAAGUCUGAUGCAGCAACGCCGCGUGCGGGAUGAAGGCCUUCGGGUUGUAAACCGCUUUCGAUCACGACGAAUGUGACGGUAGUGAUUAAAGAAGCACCGGCUAACUACGUGCCAGCAGCCGCGGUGAUACGUAGGGUGCGAGCGUUGUCCGGAUUUAUUGGGCGUAAAGAGCUCGUAGGUGGUUUGUUGCGUCGGGAGUGAAAACACACGGCUUAACUGUGUGCUUGCUUUCGAUACGGGCAGACUUGAGGAAGGUAGGGGAGAACGGAAUUCCUGGUGGAGCGGUGGAAUGCGCAGAUAUCAGGAGGAACACCGGUGGCGAAGGCGGUUCUCUGGACCUUUCCUGACGCUGAGGAGCGAAAGCGUGGGGAGCAAACAGGCUUAGAUACCCUGGUAGUCCACGCCGUAAACGGUGGGCACUAGGUGUGGGAUCCAUUCCACGGGUUCCGUGCCGUAGCUAACGCAUUAAGUGCCCCGCCUGGGGAGUACGGCCGCAAGGCUAAAACUCAAAGGAAUUGACGGGGGCCCGCACAAGCGGCGGAGCAUGCGGAUUAAUUCGAUGCAACGCGAAGAACCUUACCUGGGUUUGACAUGCACCAGAAGCGCUCAGAGAUGGGUGUGCCCUUUGUGGUUGGUGUGCAGGUGGUGCAUGGCUGUCGUCAGCUCGUGUCGUGAGAUGUUGGGUUAAGUCCCGCAACGAGCGCAACCCUCGUCCUAUGUUGCCAGCGGUUCGGCCGGGAACUCAUGGGAGACUGCCGGGGUCAACUCGGAGGGAGGUGGGGAUGAGGUCAAGUCAUCAUGCCCCUUAUGUCCAGGGCUUCACGCAUGCUACAAUGGCUGGUACAAAGUGUUGCGAUCCUGUGAGGGUGAGCGAAUCACGUAAAGCCAGUCUCAGUUCGGAUUGGGGUCUGCAACUCGACCCCAUGAAGUCGGAGUCGCUAGUAAUCGCAGAUCAGCAUUGCUGCGGUGAAUACGUUCCCGGGCCUUGUACACACCGCCCGUCAAGUCAUGAAAGUCGGUAACACCCGAAGCCGGUGGCCUAACCCGUUUGGGGGGGAGCUGUCGAAGGUGGGAUCGGUAAUUAGGACU